This is a long non-coding RNA of Alnus glutinosa, 1001 nucleotides long. RefSeq lists it as uncharacterized. The record is from RefSeq and is a predicted model, not a curated record. NCBI's taxonomy places the organism in Eukaryota, Viridiplantae, Streptophyta, Magnoliopsida, Fagales, Betulaceae. The transcript is spliced from 3 exons.
CUCUGCAAGUUACUUCUCCUUCUCCUCUGAUUUCCUCUCGGUCCAGUGGCUAGAAUAGCAAGAAGAGAGCUAUUAAACUCUCUCUUCUUCUUUAGGAAAACAUAAAAUCCAACCCUUUUUCAUUUUUGUUUCGGUUCAGCAAGAAGAGAAAGAAAACAGAAUCUCUCCCUCUCUUUGUUUGUUACGGUACUCUGUUUUAACUUUUACCUUUCUCUUAGUCUAGCUCGCGGACAGCACCUGUAGAAUAAGAAACAAAACUCAGAAAAUUCUUUAAGAAAAACACUCUCCAUCUCUCUCUGUUUCUCUAUAGUUUACAGCAGCACCAUUCCUAUUUACUGCAGAAAUACAGUAAAGAAAAGAGAACCUGAAAAAUAUCUCAGAAUCUCUCUUGCUCUCUCUCCUUCUUCUCGGUUCUUCAUAGUAGCAAAAGACCAGAAAAUUAGUAGCAUCUCUUCUUUUAAAAGCUGCAGGAAGUCCUCUCAAACCUCUCUUUCCCCCCCCACGGCUUUCAACAGAAAAAUAGUGGGAAGCAGCAAAACCUCCAAAGCUUUCUCUUCUCUUUUUUGUAACAAAAUCAGCAAAGAAACUCAUUUGGUUCUCUCCCAAAACAGCAAGCUCUUCCUCUCUUUCUCUCGGUGGACAGCAGAAAAUAGACUCUCUUGUCUGCUCUCAUCUUCCGGGCCAGCCGCUCAACAAACAGCAAUUAAAAGGAAAAGAACAACAAAAAGCCUUUUCUACCUUUUACAAAAUAUACUACUUUAAUUUUGGUAGAAGGUAGCUAAAAUACUGCUCAGAAGAUAUCAGAUGACACUGUAAACCGGAGUAUUUUCUUUAUGGAUGGCAUAGACCCCACCCUAAGAGCAAUAGAUCGAUAAAGACCGGUCUAACUUUUGUAUUGUACAUAUUUAUUUUGAAUUCCUAGAAAAAUGAUGUAAUAAUUAAAGAACUACUAUGUAUAUAUUCUUAUAAUGAAAUAUAGCCAUGUGUUAUUCCUGGGAAAA